This is a long non-coding RNA of Herpailurus yagouaroundi (jaguarundi), 927 nucleotides long. RefSeq lists it as uncharacterized. The transcript is spliced from 4 exons. Lineage: Eukaryota; Metazoa; Chordata; Mammalia; Carnivora; Felidae. The record is from RefSeq and is a predicted model, not a curated record.
CAAUAGCUCUGUGCUAUCAGAAGACAUUUCCUUCACGGCACAGAGCGUCUGAGUAAUGAUUUUGAGCCGGCUUCACCCAUUUCCGGUGGAAGGAGGCAAGUGGCCGGUCCCCGCCCCUGCACGGCCCUCUCGGAGCCCCGCCGCCCAGCAGCCUCCGGCUGGAAGACGGGCCUCUCUUCCCUUUGCCGUCCGGCCCGGCAUCCUGAGUAGCAGAUUCACUCGGAGGGGCUUUCCCGCGUCUACGCAGAACACCGUCACUGGCUCGUACUCUCAUCUGCAUGCCGUUCACAGGUGGCUUUGACGGCGAAAAGGCGGGUCGAGAAGGUCACACCUUUUUGGAAGGACUCUGUCCCUCAGAAGGAUGAGCAUUUUGAAUCCCUUUCUUCGAGCGCUGUCUUGCAAACUUCUUAUGUGGAUUUUGGGGCUCGUCUACAAGGCUGCAGGCGCUCCCAGCAUCCGGAGGGAAUUUAGACCAACCUCUUUCCUGGGGCAUCGAAGGAGAGCACGGCCCUGGGCUUCUUGGAGCAGUUCCAGCUGGAGGCUGCCUCCACGUUCACUUUAAGCCCGGACUCAACCAGAGCCCCCUGCACUCGUCUUUCCCGGCCACACGGAAAAAGCCACCUGGAGCGGGACAGAACGGAGCCGGCGUGAAAAGAGAGGCCAAGCUCCCCGCUCCCUGUGACCGGGUAUCUGGGACCACCCAUUACAGGUGGAAAAGCCCCACGCAACACCCUGCUGCGAUUCAGGUGAUGAAAGAUUCUCACGGGAUCAAACCAAGGUCUGAAUUAAUUUAGACUGAAUUAAUUUAGAGCUCGUCGGGGCCUCUCCUGCGUGGACCCCUCCCAAGGCCCUGGGAGGGGCCCUCCAAACGCGUUCCAUGGUCAUAAGCUGUUUUACAAUGUGAACAAACAAGGUAUUUUUAACCAC